RNAcentral lists this ribosomal RNA (423 nucleotides) under uncultured archaeon. Its description in RNAcentral is "partial 16S ribosomal RNA". It matches the Rfam family "Archaeal small subunit ribosomal RNA", at positions 323 to 746 of the family's 1478-position model. The record is from RNAcentral.
CUACGGGACGCUGCAGGUGCGAAAACUUUACAAUGCACGAAAGUGCGAUAAGGGAAUCUCAAGUGCUUUACUUUUUUGUAAAGCUUUUGUUAAGUGUAAACAGCUUAACGAAUAAGUGGUGGGUAAGACCGGUGCCAGCCGCCGCGGUAACACCGGCGCCACGAGUGGUGAUCACGUUUAUUGGGUCUAAAGGGUCCGUAGCUGGUCGGAUAAGUUUUUUGUGAAAUUGUUAGGCUUAACUUAACGAAUCGCAAGGAAAACUAUUCGACUAGGAACUGGGAGAAGGCAGAAGUACUUUGGGGGGAGUGGUAAAAUGCUAUAAUCCUCAAAGGACUACCUAUGGCAAAGGCAUCUGUCUAGAACGGGUUCGACAGUGAUGGACGAAAGCUAGGGGAGCGAUCCGGAUUAGAUACCCCCGUAGUC